UGGGCUUACUGAUGACUAAAUAUCUGAUGAGGAAAUUCAGCAUUAGUGUGCCAGAUGAUGGUACAUUGGUGUGCACUUUUCUUCUAGUAAGACGUUGCGAUCCAUUAGAAAAGCAAUUUAAAUCUGUAUAUAGGCCCGGAUAGGAGUUUAUACAUUAAGCGAGUAACAUAGCUUUGUUGUUAUGUGAAUGCGUGUAAACUAUCUGGUGUUCUUACAGAUGUCUGAUGGUAUAUUGACGAGUGUCACAUACAAUUCCUUGUGAAUUGACAUUCUUUAUGGAUGUAAUGUGUACAUUAUCAGCAACGUUUUAAAUUUAGGAUACCAUCAGGACCCGUCUUGAAACACGGACCAAGAAGUCUAACUUGUAUGCAAGUCAAUGGGAUUUUUAAAACCUAUAGGCGAAAUGAGAUUAACUUGUUAAUGGGAUUACAAAUGGUGUAUUAAUUAUACUGUUUUUCCAUCCCCGGGUAUCUUAAUGUAAGUACUGUAACUUCGGUUGCGUGUACUACAAAGAUAUACCGUGAGCAUACAAGCUGUGACCCGAAAGAUGGUGAACUAUGCCUGAUCAGGUUGAAGUCAGGGGAAACCCUGAUGGAAGACCGUAGCAAUUCUGACGUGCAAAUCGAUUGUCAGAGUUGGGUAUAGGGGCGAAAGACCAAUCGAACCAUCUAGUACUGUUCCCUUUUCCAAAA
Molecule: ribosomal RNA, 692 nt
Filed under: Culicoides nevilli
Lineage: Eukaryota; Metazoa; Arthropoda; Insecta; Diptera; Ceratopogonidae
Description: eukaryotic LSU rRNA
Rfam family: Eukaryotic large subunit ribosomal RNA
Source: RNAcentral